AGCCUGGAGCUGUGGCGCCGGCCCCGCUGGGGUUUGGCCCGCGCUACCCGGCCCGUGGGCCCGGCGCUCCGUGCAAGCUUAAGGCCUGCUCAAUACUUCAGCUCCUUGUAUGGAAGCUAGGCAGACAUGUGUCACAAAGUUGUGACACUUCUAGUUUUUUUCCCGGAACCCCGUUCAAAGAAUCGCCUCAGAAACUAGUUCUUUGCCUUUGUUUUAUAGGCUGAAGGGGAUGCUAAAGGAGAUAAAGCCAAGGUGAAAGACGAACCACAGAGAAGAUCUGCAAGGUUGUCUGCCAAACCUGCUCCUCCAAAGCCAGAGCCCAAGCCUAAAAAGGCCCCUGCAAAGAAGGGAGAGAAGGUACCCAAAGGGAAAAAGGGAAAAGCUGACACUGGCAAGGAUGGGAAUAACCCUGCAGAAAAUGGAGAUGCCAAAACAGACCAGGUAUGAUGCUUUUUUCCAAUUGUUGCCCCUUU
Non-coding RNA from Ictidomys tridecemlineatus (thirteen-lined ground squirrel), 473 nucleotides. The record is from RefSeq and is a predicted model, not a curated record. Lineage: Eukaryota; Metazoa; Chordata; Mammalia; Rodentia; Sciuridae.